GACGGAGGGCGCAAGCGUUGUUCGGAAUUACUGGGCGUAAAGCGCGCGCAGGCGGACGUGGCAAGUCGGGAGUGAAAGUUCGGGGCUCAACCCCGGGAUUGCUUCCGAUACUGCUCGUCUAGGGACCGGUAGAGGCCGGUGGAAUUCCCGGUGUAGCGGUGGAAUGCGUAGAUAUCGGGAAGAACACCAGUGGCGAAGGCGGCCGGCUGGGCCGGGUCCGACGCUCAGGCGCGAAAGCGUGGGGAGCAAACAGG
RNAcentral lists this unclassified non-coding RNA (254 nucleotides) under uncultured Gemmatimonadota bacterium. RNAcentral's name for it is "uncultured Gemmatimonadetes bacterium contains 16S-23S intergenic spacer region". It matches the Rfam family "Bacterial small subunit ribosomal RNA", at positions 524 to 776 of the family's 1533-position model. The record is from RNAcentral. Lineage: Bacteria; Pseudomonadati; Gemmatimonadota.